Molecule: ribosomal RNA, 460 nt
Filed under: uncultured bacterium
Lineage: Bacteria
Description: partial 16S ribosomal RNA
Rfam family: Bacterial small subunit ribosomal RNA
Source: RNAcentral
CCUACGGGCGGCAGCAGUGAGGAAUAUUGGUCAAUGGCCGGAAGGCUGAACCAGCCAUGCCGCGUGAAGGUCAGUGCCCUAUGGGCGUAAAACUUCUUUUGUGCGGGAGCAAUAAUGGUCACGUGUGGCCAGACGAGAGUACCGUAAGAAUAAGCAUCGGCUAACUUCGUGCCAGCAGCAGCGGUAAGACGGGGGAUGCAAGCGUUAUCCGGAUUUUUUGGGUUUAAAGGGUGCGUAGGCUGUGAGGUAAGUCAGCGGUGAAAUGCCCCCGCUCAACGGGGUGAAGUGCCAUUGAUACUGCCUUGCUGGAAUGCGGAUGCCGUGGGAGGAAUGUGUGGUGUAGCGGUUAAAUGCAUAGAUAUCACACAGAACACCGAUUGCGAAGGCAUCUCACGAAUCCGCGAUUGACGCUGAUGCACGAAAGCGUGGGUAUCAAACAGGAUUAGAUACCCCAGUAGUC